Molecule: ribosomal RNA, 459 nt
Filed under: uncultured bacterium
Lineage: Bacteria
Description: partial 16S ribosomal RNA
Rfam family: Bacterial small subunit ribosomal RNA
Source: RNAcentral
CCUACGGGCGUCAGCAGUGAGGAAUAUUUGUCAAUGGGCGCGAGCCUGAACCAGCCAAGUCGCGUGAGGGAAGACGGUCCUAUGGAUUGUACACCUCUUUUGUCGGGGAGCAAAAGACGCCACGCGUGGCGUUCCGAGAGUAACCGAAGAAAAAGCAUCGGCUAACCCAGUACCAGCAGCAGCGGUACUAAGGAGGAUGCGAGCGUGAUCCGGAUUUAUUGGGUUUAAAGGGUUCGCAGGCGGAAGGUCCAGUCAGCGGUAAAAUUGAGAGGCUCAACCUCUUCGAGCCGUUGAAACCGGUUUUCUUGAGUGAGUGAGAAGUAUGCGGAAUGCGUGGUGUAGCGGUGAAAUGCAUAGAUAUCACGCAGAACUCCGAUUGCGAAGGCAGCAUACCGGCGCUCAACUGACGCUCAUGCACGAAAGUGUGGGUAUCGAACAGGAUUAGAUACCCGGGUAGUC